RNAcentral lists this ribosomal RNA (910 nucleotides) under Leptosphaerulina australis. RNAcentral's name for it is "partial large subunit ribosomal RNA". It matches the Rfam family "Eukaryotic large subunit ribosomal RNA", at positions 37 to 967 of the family's 3401-position model. The record is from RNAcentral. Lineage: Eukaryota; Fungi; Ascomycota; Dothideomycetes; Pleosporales; Didymellaceae.
AGCAUAUCAAUAAGCGGAGGAAAAGAAACCAACAGGGAUUGCCCUAGUAACGGCGAGUGAAGCGGCAACAGCUCAAAUUUGAAAUCUGGCGUCUUUGGCGUCCGAGUUGUAAUUUGCAGAGGGCGCUUUGGCAUUGGCAGCGGUCCAAGUUCCUUGGAACAGGACGUCACAGAGGGUGAGAAUCCCGUACGUGGUCGCUAGCCUUUACCGUGUAAAGCCCCUUCGACGAGUCGAGUUGUUUGGGAAUGCAGCUCUAAAUGGGAGGUAAAUUUCUUCUAAAGCUAAAUACUGGCCAGAGACCGAUAGCGCACAAGUAGAGUGAUCGAAAGAUGAAAAGCACUUUGGAAAGAGAGUUAAAAAGCACGUGAAAUUGUUGAAAGGGAAGCGCUUGCAGCCAGACUUGCCUGUAGUUGCUCAUCCGGGUUUCUACCCGGUGCACUCUUCUAUAGGCAGGCCAGCAUCAGUUUGGGCGGUUGGAUAAAGGUCUCUGUCAUGUACCUCCUUUCGGGGAGAACUUAUAGGGGAGACGACAUGCAACCAGCCUGGACUGAGGUCCGCGCAUCUGCUAGGAUGCUGGCGUAAUGGCUGUAAGCGGCCCGUCUUGAAACACGGACCAAGGAGUCUAACAUCUAUGCGAGUGUUUGGGUGUCAAGCCCGAGCGCGUAAUGAAAGUGAACGGAGGUGGGAACCUUUCGGGGUGCACCAUCGACCGAUCCUGAUGUCUUCGGAUGGAUUUGAGUAAGAGCAUAGCUGUUGGGACCCGAAAGAUGGUGAACUAUGCUUGAAUAGGGUGAAGCCAGAGGAAACUCUGGUGGAGGCUCGCAGCGGUUCUGACGUGCAAAUCGAUCGUCAAAUUUGGGCAUAGGGGCGAAAGACUAAUCGAACUAUCUAGUAGCUGGUUCCUGCGAGU